This 497-nucleotide ribosomal RNA is filed under the name uncultured bacterium. RNAcentral describes it as "bacterial SSU rRNA". It matches the Rfam family "Bacterial small subunit ribosomal RNA", at positions 29 to 521 of the family's 1533-position model. The record is from RNAcentral.
AACGAACGCUGGCGGCGCGCCUAAUACAUGCAAGUCGAGCGAGAAGACGUAGCAAUACGUUUGUAAAGCGGCGAACGGGUGAGGAAUACAUGGGUAACCUACCCUCGAGUGGGGAAUAACUAGCCGAAAGGUUAGCUAAUACCGCGUACGCUCCUUGGACUUCGGUUCAGGGAGGAAAGCGAUACCGUGGGUAUCGCGCUCUUGGAUGGGCUCAUGUCCUAUCAGCUUGUUGGUGAGGAACGGCUCACCAAGGCUUCGACGGGUAGCUGGUCUGAGAGGACGAUCAGCCACACUGGCACUGCGACACGGGCCAGACUCCUACGGGAGCAGCAGUAAGGAAUAUUGCGCAAUGGGCGAAAGCCUGACGCAGCGACGCCGCGUGGGGGAUGAAGGUCUUCGGAUUGUAAACCCCUUUCGGGAGGGAAGAUGGAACGAGCAAUCGUUCGGACGGUACCUCCAGAAGCAGCCACGGCUAACUUCGUGCCAGCCGCCGCAGU